RNAcentral lists this ribosomal RNA (498 nucleotides) under uncultured bacterium. RNAcentral describes it as "partial 16S ribosomal RNA". It matches the Rfam family "Bacterial small subunit ribosomal RNA", at positions 28 to 507 of the family's 1533-position model. The record is from RNAcentral.
GACGAACGCUGGCGGCGUGCCUAAUACAUGCAAGUCGAACGAGAGCAACCGGUGCUUGCACUGGUCAAUCUAGUGGCGAACGGGUGAGUAACACGUGGGUAACCUGCCCAUCAGAGGGGGAUAACAUCCGGAAACGGAUGCUAAAACCGCAUAGGUCUUCGAACCGCAUGGUUUGAAGAGGAAAAGAGGCGCAAGCUUCUGCUGAUGGAUGGACCCGCGGUGCAUUAGCUAGUUGGUGAGGUAACGGCUCACCAAGGCCGUGAUGCAUAGCCGACCUGAGAGGGUGAUCGGCCACAUUGGGACUGAGACACGGCCCAAACUCCUACGGGAGGCAGCAGUAGGGAAUCUUCCGCAAUGGACGCAAGUCUGACGGAGCAACGCCGCGUGAGUGAAGAAGGUUUUCGGAUCGUAAAACUCUGUUGUUAGAGAAGAACAAGUGCUAGAGUAACUGUUAGCGCCUUGACGGUAUCCAACCAGAAAGCCACGGCUAACUACGUG